RNAcentral lists this transfer RNA (85 nucleotides) under Felis catus (domestic cat). It matches the Rfam family "tRNA". Rfam says of the family: Transfer RNA (tRNA) molecules are approximately 80 nucleotides in length. Lineage: Eukaryota; Metazoa; Chordata; Mammalia; Carnivora; Felidae. RNAcentral also lists the same sequence under 1 other name. The record is from Rfam by way of RNAcentral.
GCCUGCGUGGCUCAGUCAGUUAGGCAUCUGACUUUGGCUCAGGUCAUGAUCUCACAGUCUGUGGGUUCAAGUCCCACAUUGGGCU